This 432-nucleotide ribosomal RNA is filed under the name uncultured bacterium. Its description in RNAcentral is "bacterial SSU rRNA". It matches the Rfam family "Bacterial small subunit ribosomal RNA", at positions 338 to 762 of the family's 1533-position model. The record is from RNAcentral.
CCUACGGGGGGCAGCAGUGGGGAAUAUUGCGCAAUGGGCGAAAGCCUGACGCAGCGACGCCGCGUGAGGGAUGAAGGUUCUCGGAUCGUAAACCUCUGUCAGAAGGGAAGAAAUUAUAUCAUGCUAAUCAGUGGUGUAUUGACGGUACCUUCAAAGGAAGCACCGGCUAACUCCGUGCCAGCAGCCGCGGUAAUACGGAGGGUGCGAGCGUUAAUCGGAAUUACUGGGCGUAAAGCGCACGUAGGCUGUAUGACAAGUCAAGGGUGAAAUGCCACGGCUCAACCGUGGAACUGCCUUUGAAACUGUCAAACUGGAGUAUGUGAGAGGGCGGCGGAAUUCCUGGUGUAGGAGUGAAAUCCGUAGAUAUCAGGAGGAACAUCAGUGGCGAAGGCGGCCGCCUGGCACAAAACUGACGCUGAGGUGCGAAAGCGU